This 264-nucleotide unclassified non-coding RNA is filed under the name uncultured fungus. Its description in RNAcentral is "partial contains 5.8S ribosomal RNA, internal transcribed spacer 2, and large subunit ribosomal RNA". Lineage: Eukaryota; Fungi. The record is from RNAcentral.
AACGCAUAUUGCGCCCGCCGGCAUUCCGGCGGGCACGCCUGUCCGAGCGCCAUCGAAAACCCUCGAGCCCAGGCUCGCUGUUGGACGACGCCCGCGGGGGCGCGCUCCUAAACACGUCGGCGGCCGCCGUUCCGGCCCCGGAAGCGCACCGCGCCUCACGGCCACGCGCAUGCCGGGAGGGACGGCCGGCCCGCCCCGCACCCACGCGGACCACACAGAACACAUGAAGGCCUCGGAUCAGGCGGGGUUACCCGCUGAACUUAA